CCUACGGGAGGCAGCAGUGAGGAAUAUUGGUCAAUGGGCGGAAGCCUGAACCAGCCAAGUCGCGUGAGGGAGUAAGGCCCUACGGGUCGUAAACCUCUUUUGCCGGGGAGCAGUGCCCAGCUCGUGAGCUGGGAGGGAGCGUCCCCGGAGAAAAAGCAUGGGCUAACUCCGUGCCAGCAGCCGCGGUAAUACGGGGGAUGCGAGCGUUAUCUGAUUUUGUUGGUUUAAAGGGUGCGUAGGCGGGCCUUCAGGUCAGCGGUAAAAUUGGGGGGCUCAACCCCGCCGGGCCGUCGGAACCGGGGGCUUUGAGUACCGGAGAAGUACGCGGAAUGCGUGGUGUAGCGGUGAAAUGCAUAGAUAUCACGCAGAACCCCGAUUGCGAAGGCAGCGUACCGGCCGGUCACUGACGCUGAGGCACGAAAGCGCGGGUAUCGAACAGGAUUAGAUACCCUGGUAGUC
Molecule: ribosomal RNA, 459 nt
Filed under: uncultured bacterium
Lineage: Bacteria
Description: partial 16S ribosomal RNA
Rfam family: Bacterial small subunit ribosomal RNA
Source: RNAcentral